This 301-nucleotide ribosomal RNA is filed under the name uncultured bacterium. RNAcentral describes it as "partial 16S ribosomal RNA". It matches the Rfam family "Bacterial small subunit ribosomal RNA", at positions 509 to 807 of the family's 1533-position model. The record is from RNAcentral.
CAGCAGCCGCGGUAAUACGAGGGGGGCAAGCGUUGUUCGGAAUUACUGGGCGUAAAGCGCACGUAGGCGGAUAUUUAAGUCAGGGGUGAAAUCCCAGAGCUCAACUCUGGAACUGCCUUUGAUACUGGGUAUCUUGAGUAUGGAAGAGGUAAGUGGAAUUGCGAGUGUAGAGGUGAAAUUCGUAGAUAUUCGCAGGAACACCAGUGGCGAAGGCGGCUUACUGGUCCAUUACUGACGCUGAGGUGCGAAAGCGUGGGGAGCAAACAGGAUUAGAUACCCCCGUAGUCCCUGUCUCUUAUAC